RNAcentral lists this long non-coding RNA (452 nucleotides) under Phoenix dactylifera (date palm). Its description in RNAcentral is "long non-coding RNA (PDAC_LNC006677)". Lineage: Eukaryota; Viridiplantae; Streptophyta; Magnoliopsida; Arecales; Arecaceae. The record is from RNAcentral.
CGAGAUCCUCUCAACGUUCUCGCCAUCCCCUGCAGCCAAGGAUCAAGCUGACUUCAUCCCAUUCCGAUCCUAGCUCCCAUUUGUCCACGUCCGCAGCCUCCUUCCCCUGUUCUGCAUGUCCCUUUCCUUCCGAGGAGAACCAGCAACCAUCCAACGACCGGAUCAGAUUCGGCAACAUCUCCACAUCAUCCUCUUCUUCGGAUCAAGCCAAUGAACUUCCCAGAUUUCCUUAAAGGAGCAGUAUCUAUCCACCAUCCACGGAAGAGAUAAAGCCUCCACAGCAUUAUCCACCCAUUCGGAAUAGCCACAAGGAAGAGAGAGAGGAAGAUGGGCUGCCUAUAUAAAGGGAAGACUUUGAUCAGAGUGGAGCAUUCCUCCUUCCCCACCUGGGGGCAUUCCCUCUUCCCCCAUGGGGGGUUGAUCCCAUCUAUCUCUCACAGGCCAAGUUCCAC